GUGCUGUAUGAAAGGAGAGAAGGUUAGCACUCCCCUUCAGAAGGAUGGAAGAGGUCCUAGUGGUCUAUACACCUCCCCCUUCUAGACUGUGAGCCCACUGUUGGGUAGGGACCGUCUCUAUAUGUUG
Molecule: small nuclear RNA, 127 nt
Organism: Tachyglossus aculeatus (Australian echidna)
Lineage: Eukaryota; Metazoa; Chordata; Mammalia; Monotremata; Tachyglossidae
Source: RefSeq, a predicted model, not a curated record